This 253-nucleotide ribosomal RNA is filed under the name uncultured bacterium. RNAcentral's name for it is "partial 16S ribosomal RNA". It matches the Rfam family "Bacterial small subunit ribosomal RNA", at positions 524 to 776 of the family's 1533-position model. The record is from RNAcentral.
UACGAAGGGGGCUAGCGUUGUUCGGAAUCACUGGGCGUAAAGCGCACGUAGGCGGAUUCUUAAGUCAGGGGUGAAAUCCCGGGGCUCAACUCCGGAACUGCCUUUGAUACUGGGGAUCUCGAGUCCGGGAGAGGUGAGUGGAAUUGCGAGUGUAGAGGUGAAAGUCGUAGAUAUUCGCAAGAACACCGGUGGCGAAGGCGGCUCACUGGCCCGGUACUGACGCUGAGGUGCGAAAGCGUGGGGAGCAAACAGG